UCAGUCCGUCGUGUUGCAGCUGCCGUCGGGUGCACUAGACAUCGUGCU
Molecule: ribosomal RNA, 48 nt
Filed under: Leucetta floridana
Lineage: Eukaryota; Metazoa; Porifera; Calcarea; Clathrinida; Leucettidae
Description: partial 28S ribosomal RNA
Source: RNAcentral